This 213-nucleotide unclassified non-coding RNA is filed under the name plant metagenome. RNAcentral's name for it is "partial contains small subunit ribosomal RNA, internal transcribed spacer 1, and 5.8S ribosomal RNA". The record is from RNAcentral.
UUUCCGUAGGUGAACCUGCGGAAGGAUCAUUCAUAAUAAGUGUUUUAUGGCACUUUUUUAAAUCCAUAUCCACCUUGUGUGCAAUGUCAGGGUUGAUUUUUCUCUCGAGAGGAUCAACCCCAAACAUCAACUAUAUCUCAACUCUUUGUCUGAAAGAUAUUAUGAAUAAAACAAUUCAAAAUACAACUUUCAACAACGGAUCUCUUGGCUCUC